AGUGAACGCUGGCGGUAGGCCUAACACAUGCAAGUCGAACGGCAGCACAGUAAGAGCUUGCUCUUACGGGUGGCGAGUGGCGGACGGGUGAGGAAUACAUCGGAAUCUACUUUUUCGUGGGGGAUAAGGUGGGAAAACUACCCCUAUACCCCAAACGAACUUCGGGUGAAAGCAGGGGAACUUCGGACCUUGUGCGGAUGAAUGAGCCGAUGUCGGAUUAGCUAGUUGGCGGGGUAAAGGCCCACCAAGGCGACGAUCCGUAGCUGGUCUGAGAGGAUGAUCAGCCACACUGGAACUGAGACACGGUCCAGACUCCUACGGGAGGCAGCAGUGGGGAAUAUUGGACAAUGGGCGCAAGCCUGAUCCAGCCAUACCGCGUGGGUGAAGAAGGCCUUCGGGUUGUAAAGCCCUUUUGUUGGGAAAGAAAAGCAGCAGGUUAAUACCCCGCUGUUCUGACGGUACCCAAAGAAUAAGCACCGGCUAACUUCGUG
RNAcentral lists this ribosomal RNA (491 nucleotides) under uncultured bacterium. RNAcentral's name for it is "partial 16S ribosomal RNA". It matches the Rfam family "Bacterial small subunit ribosomal RNA", at positions 29 to 507 of the family's 1533-position model. The record is from RNAcentral.